This is a long non-coding RNA of Telopea speciosissima, 1302 nucleotides long. RefSeq lists it as uncharacterized. NCBI's taxonomy places the organism in Eukaryota, Viridiplantae, Streptophyta, Magnoliopsida, Proteales, Proteaceae. The record is from RefSeq and is a predicted model, not a curated record. The transcript is spliced from 4 exons.
CUCGAGGAGAAAAAAUCAAUCAUGUUAAAGCCAACGUCAACUGGUGAAGUGGUUGCAAAGAUUGAUCUUUUUCACCUUCCCGGAGAAACUUUAACCCGGGAAUGCACUUUAUUUUGUCUUGGCUUCCCUCCCGAACUCCACUAUUAAAAAUGAAGGAAUCACGAACUUUUCACCGAAAGCUUUUGCAUUCUUCAUAAUUACGCUUGUCGCCUCCCUUCCUUCGAUGAUCGAACCUUAAAUGGAAUGGCAGAUUUCUCAGAACCCUCACCUCCAUUAACAAUUCACAGGAAGAAAACACAGCAGGAAGGGAGGGGGAGAGAAUGUGGGAAGACAGAGCGUCCUCCCAAGCAGACCAGCAAAGCAACUUGAACAUACUUCAGCUUGAUGUUGUUCAGUUUUAUCAUCUGCUGCAUGGGACCGGAGAGUUGAUCCUGUGCUGUACUCAGAGCUGCCUGGAGACUCUUCAUAUAAAUCAGUUUUCUCUGAAUGUUGAAGUUAUAUGAGGGUGCAAAGAAAUGUCUCAGUGCAAGUGAGCUGAGCAGUUCUGCUUGCUGCAUCAAAGCAGUGAUCUUUGGAUCAUCCCUUCUAAGAAAUGUUACUUGGCCCUUGUCAUCUGCACCUACUUUUGAUCAGCAGGGAAAAUUGGUGUUAACUUCUCUUGAAAGAAAUGGUGUUCUAUUAAGAAGAAAAAGAUGACAAGGAAAAGGGAGAAUGGAGAAAAAUAACAAAACUGCAAUAGGGAAACUUUGACCAACAUUCUGUUGGUCAGCGUAACAUAAAUUCUGCUGUUCCUAUCAAUGUUAACCAGAUAUGGCAAGAUCAUGGUUUAACAUUUUACUUUGAGAGCAUUACUAUCCAGGGAAAGACAUGUUCAUUACUGAAUUUUAUUUUUCUUUUCUACUACAUAAACAAAUGUCCAGGAGAUGGUUUACCAUCAUUAGAGGCUGCUUUGAUGUUGUUGCUGACAUGUUGCUGUGCUGACAAGUUGCCAAUGUUGUGGAGGUUUUGAACCAAUACUGCAAAGGGCGGUCUCAGCUGGUGAUUCUCAACGCAUUGCCUUAGAGAUCCUUCUUUGGUGUUUUCUGUGAGAUUCAAGAUUUGGGUCCUACAUCACAACUUUUAAGUGUUAUAUGUAAAGCAUUAUAUCUUGUUGCCAUAUAUUGGGAAAAUUGUGUCGCUAUUAUACCUCAUUUUCUUAAGAGGUGGUGUAGAUUCAGAAGAUCCGUUCAUUAUAAACCCAUUUUGAUCUAUAACUCUCUUGUUGUUUGGGUUUAUGCAUGAAGUGUUAUUCUCCUUUGAUAA